Molecule: long non-coding RNA, 318 nt
Filed under: Capsicum annuum
Lineage: Eukaryota; Viridiplantae; Streptophyta; Magnoliopsida; Solanales; Solanaceae
Description: long non-coding RNA (CANN_LNC000097)
Source: RNAcentral
UGGGGACGCACAACCGUUGGGCGAGCCGGUGUGGAAGUCCCAGUAGAAGAUUGAGCAACAAGAUCGCAGACGACAUGUGGUGUUGUGAAUGUGGCAGGCUUAUGCUGAGGAGCUAGAGGAAAAGUGGUGGAAGUAUUGAGAUGCUUUUGGCUUGGAAUGAAUUCUAAGUCAUGUUGCGGUGCAUCAACAACAGUAGAAAACUGACUUUGAGAUUUUGGUGGAAAACUCGAGGUAUUUAUUGGAUCAAUAAAGGGAAAUAGAGGAGGAGGCAACCCACUAGCCCAAGCUCGAUACAUUUCUGUCAUUUGUUCUCUUAGC